CCAAGCCGACGUCUUGACCUCAUCAAAGAAGUCUCCCUCAAGGACCGCGAGCUCAGGAUUGUGGGCGAGGUCGGUGCCAAGAUCCGAGUCUUAGACUUCAUUUCUCCCGAUGUCCAGGUUCUAAAUUUAAUGGUUUAAAAACCCGAAUUGAAGACGUAGCUGGAAGAAGAAGAAGAGGGCGUGUAGUACUAAGGAAAAGAAAGCUGAGAAGGACACAAUUGUUUGUUACUCAAAAGGCGCUUGUAUCCUAAUUAUUUGGCGAGUUCUAUAUAAAGGGAAAAAAAUGAGCGAACGCGAUGGUCUUGAAGUUGUUAGAAAUCCAAAGAGGCCUAUCGGCGCUUGGAUACAUUACUAUAACGAUCAAUUAGCCAUGAUGAAAGAGAAGGAUAAAGGAGU
Long non-coding RNA from Vitis riparia (riverbank grape), 396 nucleotides. RefSeq lists it as uncharacterized. The transcript has 4 exons. The record is from RefSeq and is a predicted model, not a curated record. Lineage: Eukaryota; Viridiplantae; Streptophyta; Magnoliopsida; Vitales; Vitaceae.